GUUGACCUCGGAUCAGGUAGGAU
This 23-nucleotide ribosomal RNA is filed under the name Colletotrichum sp. Tm6-1. RNAcentral describes it as "partial 28S ribosomal RNA". RNAcentral also lists the same sequence under 1 other name. Lineage: Eukaryota; Fungi; Ascomycota; Sordariomycetes; Glomerellales; Glomerellaceae. The record is from RNAcentral.